Molecule: ribosomal RNA, 654 nt
Filed under: Triticum aestivum (bread wheat)
Lineage: Eukaryota; Viridiplantae; Streptophyta; Magnoliopsida; Poales; Poaceae
Description: partial small subunit ribosomal RNA
Source: RNAcentral
CUGCACCAACUGAGGCCUAUUAAGCGUGUUGCUUUUGAAGGGCCUGUAACAGGAAGGCGUUUCUAUGGCUGCCCAUUCCAGGAAAAUGGUGUGAAUUGUGGUGUUGUAGAGUGGGUUGAUGGGCCUUGGCCUACUGUUCUUCAGAGAUGUUUGUGCAAGCUAUGGGAAAUGUUCCAUGAGCAGAACUAUGGAAGGGUACUUGACAAGGAGAAGUUUGAGAAGGAGUUGGCCAAUCUUAAGACUGAAAAUGACAAGCUUUGCAUUGAGUACACCAAGAUUGUUGAUGAUGUAUCCAAGAUGUUUGAUUGGCAGGAUGGUAGGGCGAACAAGAAGGUGUACCAGAAACAAGUGGAGGAGGAAGAACUUGAGAAGAAGAAGAAGAAGAAGAAGAAGAAGAAGAAGGAGCUAAAGGAGAAAGCUAUGUUGGAGGUGCAUAUGGAAAAGCUCAAACUUGCAAAAGAGCAGAGGUGCAUUUUGCAGAGCCAAGCUGGUAUCAUCAAGAACACCAGGAAGGCUAUGAAGGAUGUUGAAGUUGACAGAGAUGUUCUUAAGAAGGAGAAGGCAAAGCUUGAGCUUGUUGUUGCAGAGCUGCUGAAAGAUGGGUAUGGCAGCAAGGAGAAAUUAGAUCAAAUCAAGGCCAUCCUUGAGUCAUGA